GGGUUGGACCUGCCCGGUGAUUAGUCAAAUUUUGAAGUUAUUGAAUUAAUUAGAGAUUUUUUUAAACGGCUGCAAUUAGUAGUUGUGCUAAGGUAGCGUAAUCAUUUGCCCCUUAAUUAGGGGAAGGUAUGAAUGGUUUGACGUGGGAAAAGCUGUCUCUUUUAUAUAAAAGGAAGUUUAUUUUUGAGUGAAAAAGCUUAGAUGUUUAUAAAAGACGAGAAGACCCUAUCGAACUUGAAUUAUGUAUUAUAGA
Molecule: ribosomal RNA, 253 nt
Filed under: Euglesa casertana
Lineage: Eukaryota; Metazoa; Mollusca; Bivalvia; Venerida; Sphaeriidae
Description: Pisidium casertanum partial 16S ribosomal RNA
Source: RNAcentral